This 719-nucleotide ribosomal RNA is filed under the name uncultured Sneathia sp. RNAcentral describes it as "bacterial SSU rRNA". It matches the Rfam family "Bacterial small subunit ribosomal RNA", at positions 32 to 765 of the family's 1533-position model. The record is from RNAcentral. Lineage: Bacteria; Fusobacteriati; Fusobacteriota; Fusobacteriia; Fusobacteriales; Leptotrichiaceae.
AACGCUGACAGAAUGCUUAACACAUGCAAGUCGAUGAUGGGAGCUAGCUUGCUAGAAGAAGUCAUGGCGGACGGGUGAGUAACGUGUAAAGAACUUACCAUAUAGACUGGGAUAACAGAGGGAAACUUCUGAUAAUACUGGAUAAGUUAGAAGUAGCAUUACUAAGUAAUGAAAGGUAGCAAUACGCUAUAUGAGAGCUUUGCAUCCUAUUAGCUAGUUGGUGGGGUAAAAGCCUACCAAGGCGAUGAUAGGUAGCCGGCCUGAGAGGGUGGACGGCCACAAGGGGACUGAGAUACGGCCCUUACUCCUACGGGAGGCAGCAGUGGGGAAUAUUGGACAAUGGAGGCAACUCUGAUCCAGCAAUUCUGUGUGUGUGAAGAAGGUUUUAGGACUGUAAAACACUUUUAGUAGGGAAGAAAGAAAUGACGGUACCUACAGAAGAAGCGACGGCUAAAUACGUGCCAGCAGCCGCGGUAAUACGUAUGUCGCGAGCGUUAUCCGGAAUUAUUGGGCUUAAAGGGCAUCUAGGCGGUUAAACAAGUUGAAGGUGAAAACCUGUGGCUCAACCAUAGGCUUGCCUACAAAACUGUAUAACUAGAGUACUGGAAAGGUGGGUGGAACUACACGAGUAGAGGUGAAAUUCGUAGAUAUGUGCAGGAAUGCCGAUGAUGAAGAUAACUCACUGGACAGCAACUGACGCUGAAGUGCGAAAGCUAGGG